RNAcentral lists this ribosomal RNA (484 nucleotides) under uncultured bacterium. RNAcentral describes it as "partial 16S ribosomal RNA". It matches the Rfam family "Bacterial small subunit ribosomal RNA", at positions 30 to 507 of the family's 1533-position model. The record is from RNAcentral.
AUUGAACGCUGGCGGCAUGCCUAACACAUGCAAGUCGAGCGGAUGAAGGGUGCUGGCUCCUGGAUUCAGCGGCGGACGGGUGAGUAAUACCUAUAAAUCGGCAUGUUAUGAGUAGAGAACGUCCGGAAACGGGCGCUAAUACCACAUACGUCCUGGGGGAGAAAGUGAGAGAGCUUCGGACCUCACGCUAGCAUAUGACCCUAGGUCGGAUUAGCUAGUUGGUGGGGUAAAGGCCUACCAAGGCGACGAUCCGUAACUGGUCUGAGAGGAUGAUCAGUCACACUGGAACUGAGACACGGUCCAGACUCCUACGGGAGGCAGCAGUGGGGAAUAUUGGACAAUGGGCGAAAGCCUGAUCCAGCCAUGCCGCGUGUGUGAAGAAGGUCUUCGGAUUGUAAAGCACUUUAAGUUGGGAGGAAGGGCAGUAAGUUAAUACCUUGCUGUUUUGACGUUACCAAAAGAAUAAGCACCGGCUAACUUCGUG